AGAUGUGAGGGCGAUCUGGCUGUGACAUCUGUCACCCCACUGAUCGCCAGGGUUGAUUUUGCUGAUCUGACUGGCUAGGCGGGUGUCCCCUUCCUCCCUCACUGCUUCAUAUGCUUCCCUCCCAAAGCUGCAAGCUGGGUAGAAGAGGAAGGCCUUCCUGGAAUAGAGAUGGACCAUGGAAGGGUGUAAGAGUAGCUGCGCUCCCCUGCUAGAACCCCCAAACAAGCUUUCAAGAAUGACCAAGUCAUCAAUGUCCAUAGUUUCCAGUAGAGAUUAACACUUGUGAUUCACAAAUACCAAACAUGCCAUGUGGAGAAUGAUUAUGGU
Molecule: non-coding RNA, 327 nt
Organism: Erinaceus europaeus (western European hedgehog)
Lineage: Eukaryota; Metazoa; Chordata; Mammalia; Eulipotyphla; Erinaceidae
Source: Rfam